This 335-nucleotide unclassified non-coding RNA is filed under the name soil metagenome. Its description in RNAcentral is "partial contains 5.8S ribosomal RNA, internal transcribed spacer 2, and large subunit ribosomal RNA". The stretch from base 1 to 120 matches the Rfam family "5.8S ribosomal RNA", at positions 35 to 154 of the family's 154-position model. The record is from RNAcentral.
GAUGAAGAACGUAGCGAAAUGCGAUAAGUAAUGUGAAUUGCAGAAUUCAGUGAAUCAUCGAAUCUUUGAACGCACAUUGCGCCCGCCAGUAUUCUGGCGGGCAUGCCUGUUCGAGCGUCAUUUCAACCAUCAAGCCCCCGGCUUGUGUUGGGGACCUGCGGCUGCCGCAGGCCCUGAAAAGCAGUGGCGGGCUCGCUGUCACACCGAGCGUAGUAGCAUACAUCUCGCUCUGGGCGUGCUGCGGGUUCCGGCCGUUAAACCACCUUCAUAACCCAAGGUUGACCUCGGAUCAGGUAGGAAGACCCGCUGAACUUAAGCAUAUCAUAAGCGGAGGA